UUAAAGACGAUGAAGAGGAUCAGUAAAUAGUUUAAAUUCUAUUUACAGCGAACUGGAUUUGGUGAGAGCCAGGAUAGAAUAAACUGUUGAAUAUCUCCUUGGAGUUGUAGAGCUGAAAUUUAUGUCAAGUAGGUUAUACCGGUAUUACAGUACCCGUUAUCAUGUGCUGGAGUAUGGAACGUACUCAUUCUUUUGAGUAGGUAAGUACUUAUUGAGGCUAUUAUUGUAAAAUAAUAGUGUAUUAGGGUGGUACCACGUGAGGAGUAUAACCUCUCGUCCCGAUU
RNAcentral lists this non-coding RNA (284 nucleotides) under Selenihalanaerobacter shriftii. Its description in RNAcentral is "T-box sequence". It matches the Rfam family "T-box leader". From Rfam's summary of the family: Uncharged tRNA acts as the effector for transcription antitermination of genes in the T-box leader family. T-boxes are found upstream of many aminoacyl-tRNA synthetase genes and some amino acid biosynthetic genes usually in Gram-positive bacteria. The anticodon of a specific tRNA base pairs to a specifier sequence within the T-box motif, and the NCCA acceptor tail of the tRNA base pairs to a conserved bulge in the T-box antiterminator hairpin. The record is from RNAcentral. Lineage: Bacteria; Bacillati; Bacillota; Clostridia; Halanaerobiales; Halobacteroidaceae.